UGUCUUGUCUGUCAGGCAGUGACCUCUAGGGAUCAGCCACUCAGCACACUGUGACCGGGACUUAGAGGGCCUGGCAGCUGGAAGUGAAGGGGUUCUUUGUUCUCUCAGUUGGAGCCAGGCAGCGGAAGCAACAGGUAGGCUGGCCAAGCCACGGCAGCAACCAGGAGCUCUGCAGGAGCCUGAAAUCUCUACCAUGGUUUUGACUUGCCGCUGUGUGGACCCCCUGCCCCCAUGACCCCUGCUUCUCUGGACCCUGACCUGUGACCUACUGCUUCUCUGGAGCCCGAUUUGCUCUGCUUCUGGACCCUGACCUGCUCCGCUUCUCUGGACCCUGACCUGCUCUGCUGGACUCUGACCUGCUCUGCUUCUCUGGACCCUGACCUUCUCUUCUGCUCCUGCUGACCUGCUGAUAAUGCUGCCUGCUGACCCUGCCUUAAAAAAAAAUAUUAUCACCCUCCUUCCUAUGGAUUGCCUGCCUCGUCAUCAUGUCAGAUUGGUUGCUAAAUUUUGUGCCAUUGCAUACAAGAUUCAUCAAGUAAUGGUGAAGGCUCCCCCUAUCAGUUAGGGUGAGACCAGGGAAGGGAAGGAAUGCCACUGCUGCAGCUGCCCAGAAGGCAGCCAAUUUAUUGAGAAAAGCUGGAUGUGCAUUACAAGAUCCAACCCUUCUCUUCUGCAGGUUGAGAGCAACUCUGAAGCUGGCAUCAGUAUUAUAAAUAUAAAUAUUUGAUUUAAAAAAUUAGUUACAUUUUGAUCACAUUGUAUAAUGUAAAGAUUUUAUAAUUCAAACUGAGGCACAUAUGGUCUUAUCUAAAAACAUUACCUUAGAGCCUGUGGGCCCAAAUAAGUCACCUCAUGCUUGUUUACUAGGUAUUAUGCUUGGAAAUGGGCCAAGAUGUGUCUGAACAUGUAUAAAUGUGACUUAAUACCUUAUUUCUCGCCCAAGCUGAGAGGUCAUGAGCAUAAAUGGGAUGUGUCCCAGCAGCUAAGCAUCUGUGUUUAUCUUGGCUAUGCAUUUCUGACAGCCAGUGCAGAUGGUCAGUAAAUAUGAAUAACUAAGCCAGCUCCUGCAUCAGACUGCCAUGGUUACUUGGGUAUUUACAUGCUCAAUAUACUUCAGAAUUAUUAUUAAAAUGUAGUAAACAGAAGCAAGUUCCAUUCCACACCACCAAUGAAUACUGAUUUUAGGAGCAUCAGUGUUUCUGAAGUUUGAUUCCCGUUCUGCUUCUGAAAAUGCAGUGGGCUGAAAAUUAAGAAGACAAUUUUUUGGGAUGAAGGAAAUUGGACCACAAACUACAUAUGUCAUUCUGAGGCCUCUUAACUUAUGAGCAGAGGCACCUGCAAAUUAAGCAUCAUCAUGCUCGGCCAGGCAACCACACCACCCGGGACAGACUAAAGAGGAUUUAGGGGGCCCCAGCGGCUGUCAAGGCCCUGGACUUUGGCCUGAAAGUCCAGGGGUAAGAGCACCUCUGCUUAUGAGCCCAGAAGUAAAAUUUAAUAUCUUGGGAUUCUCUCUUCCUAGUUCUGAUAUGAUCAUUUUAAAGGGGUGCUGUUAUGAGGGUGAUGAGUGCAAAA
Hemicordylus capensis (graceful crag lizard) is the source of this 1572-nucleotide long non-coding RNA. RefSeq lists it as uncharacterized. NCBI's taxonomy places the organism in Eukaryota, Metazoa, Chordata, Lepidosauria, Squamata, Cordylidae. The transcript is spliced from 5 exons. The record is from RefSeq and is a predicted model, not a curated record.